RNAcentral lists this ribosomal RNA (468 nucleotides) under uncultured bacterium. RNAcentral's name for it is "partial 16S ribosomal RNA". It matches the Rfam family "Bacterial small subunit ribosomal RNA", at positions 28 to 507 of the family's 1533-position model. The record is from RNAcentral.
GACGAACGCUGGCGGCGUGCCUAACACAUGCAAGUCGAACGGCAAGGCCCUGCUUUUGUGGGGUGCCCGAUUGGCGAACGGGUGAGGAACACGAGAGUAUCCGGCCCUUGUCUUUGGGAUAACUUAAGGAAACUGGGGCUAAUACCGUACAGCAUCUCCUGCAGCAUGGUGGGGGUUGGAAAGUUUAGGCGGUUGGGGAUGGAUUCGCGGCUUAUCAGCUUGUUGGUGGGGUAGUGGCUUACCAAGCCAUGGACCGAUAGCCGGCCGGGGAGGGUGACCGGCCACAAGAGGACUGAGAGACGGAGCAGACUCGAACGGGAGGCAGCAGUGGGGAGUAUGGCACAGUGAUCGGAAGCCUGAUGCGGAGGCGCCGCGUGCGGAAUGACGGCCUUCGGGUUGUGAACCGCUUUCGCCUGUGACGACGCGUGAGUGACGGUAAUGAGUAAAGAAGCACCGGCUAACUACGUG